AACGAACGCUGGCGGCAUGCCUAACACAUGCAAGUCGAACGAGACCUUCGGGUCUAGUGGCGCACGGGUGCGUAACACGUGGGAAUUUGCCUCGGGGUAUGGAAUAACUCAGGGAAACUUGAGCUAAUACCAUAUAAUGUCUUCGGACCAAAGAUUUAUCGCCCUGAGAUAAGCCCGCGUAGGAUUAGCUAGUUGGUGGGGUAAAGGCUCACCAAGGCGACGAUCCUUAGCUGGUCUGAGAGGAUGAUCAGCCACACUGGGACUGAGACACGGCCCAGACUCCUACGGGAGGCAGCAGUGGGAAUAUUGGACAAUGGGCGAAAGCCUGAUCCAGCAAUGCCGCGUGAGUGAUGAAGGCCU
RNAcentral lists this ribosomal RNA (360 nucleotides) under uncultured bacterium. Its description in RNAcentral is "bacterial SSU rRNA". It matches the Rfam family "Bacterial small subunit ribosomal RNA", at positions 29 to 417 of the family's 1533-position model. The record is from RNAcentral.